UACGUAGGGCGCAAGCGUUGUCCGGAAUUAUUGGGCGUAAAGAGCUCGUAGGCGGUUUGUCGCGUCUGCUGUGAAAACCUAAGGCUCAACCUUGGGCUUGCAGUGGGUACGGGCAGACUAGAGUGCGGUAGGGGUGACUGGAAUUCCUGGUGUAGCGGUGGAAUGCGCAGAUAUCAGGAGGAACACCGAGUGGCGAAGGCAGGUCAC
This 207-nucleotide ribosomal RNA is filed under the name uncultured bacterium. Its description in RNAcentral is "partial 16S ribosomal RNA". It matches the Rfam family "Bacterial small subunit ribosomal RNA", at positions 524 to 729 of the family's 1533-position model. The record is from RNAcentral.